GUCCCCCCUUCGGGGGUGGACUCAUACUAAAAUUGGACAGAUACAGAGAAGAUUAGCAUGGCCCCUGCGCAA
Molecule: small nuclear RNA, 72 nt
Filed under: Salpingoeca rosetta
Lineage: Eukaryota; Choanoflagellata; Craspedida; Salpingoecidae
Source: RNAcentral